UUUUUUUUUUUUUUUUUUGUCUUUUGUCUUUUUGUUGUUGUUGUUGUUAUUGUUGCUAUUUCUUGGGCCGCUCCCGCGGCAUAUGGAGGUUCCCAGGCUAGGGGUUGAAUCGGAGCUGUAGCCACCGGCCUACGCCAGAGCCACAGCAACGCAGGAUCCGAGCCGCGACUGCAACCUACACCACAGCUCACGGCAACACCGGAUUGUUAACCCACUGAGCAAGGGCAGGGACUGAACCUGCAACCUCAUGGUUCCUAGUCAGAUUCGUUAACCGCUGUGCCACGACGGGAACUCCCCAGAGAAAUAUUCUUGAAGGACACGUACCAGCAGGUGCACAGUCAGAGAGGACUGUCCCAAGCUUGGAAUGUUUCUCCAAGUGUGAUUCUUGGGCCACCAAUACCGAAAUGAACUUAAGGGCUUGAUUAAAAAAAAAGGAGAUAUCUGAACCCUAACUUUAGGGAUGUUUUUUCCCAAGGGAUUUCUAUCUUCUCUCUUACUAUAGGAACAUUACUUUAAAGCCCUUUGGAAGAAGCCAGUGAAAAAAGAACCCCAGAUAGCUGAGAGCCAGCAGUGGCCUGAAAUAGGCAAUUAGACCAGUUGUAGCCUUUCUGGCCUUCAGAUCAUUCUCCUCUGAAGAGCAGCUCCGCCUGCUGGGAAGCAGGGACCUCCUUUCAGGUUGCGGUGACCCUCAAAAAAAGGUUAAGUGAGCUUUACCUUCAAAGCCAACUGGCUGAUCCUAAUAGGGUUUUCCAGCCCCCCACAGCUCAUCUGUAUGCACUCUGAAGUUUUUUGAGUAAAUUGGAAUUCUUUAACUGCUUCAGAUCACCAGGAGACAGGGACUCACUUAAAAUAAAUAUGCAUUCUUUUAGGCAACCAAUUGUUGUGAAAUCUUUUUAGUCAACGUAUGCAUUAGGUAGUGUGAGAUAAAGAGAAAUGGACUUACAUUUUGACAGAGGAGGGACAAUAAAGUGGCCUGGAAGGCAAUAGCUAAAUGACUUAUAUGAUGCAAUGCGAAGAAGGCGGGGAUGAGAAUGAAAUAUAUAUUCAACUCUGGAAUCUUACGAUGUGGAAAAGAUGUUGAUUCUUUUGGACCCUGUUUCCCAACUGGUAAAAUGGGGAUGCCAUCCCCAGCAAUAGGGUUGCUGCGAGGAUUCAAUGUGACUGUAUUGUCCUGGCGCUCUCUGGAUGCUCAAUGAAAAAUGUUUCGUUUUUCUUUCCUGGAUUUGAGGAACGUUUUAUCCUCAAGCGGAGACAAAUGGUUCAGAAAGCAGAGAAGAAUAUGAUGUAAUCACACUUACAGUCUUCACAUGUGGCUCAAGGUAUGCCCUGCAACAGCGACGUGGGUAAGGGCAGGUGGGAGGGAAUGCCGGGCACUUUAAACAGAACUCCCACACAUUAGCAUCAUGACUGGGUUCUUGUGUGCCACCCACAAGGAAAUAUGGGAGAGUCAAUUUUGGGACAGAGGUUCUGCCUCAGGCACUUUCAAAGGCCAGUCUCACCAAUUCUUAUUAUUUAUUGUUUUACUGCUGUUCCACUUACUUUCUGAUUCCUUGACUUUCAUGCUCCUCUUCUAGGAUAUCAGCUAAAUGACUUUCUUGUACCCAGAUCCACAGAGCUCCUUGUCACUUCCCUCAGUUUUAUUAACUAUUCUGUCCAUCUUCCUCCGUCCACCUUCCCCUCCACAGGUAGGGGAAGUAUACUGAUAGCAAAUGGAAUACUCUGCAAAUCAAAUGGUUUACAAUUCAAUCAACAAAAGGAAUCUUGGCAAUGCAUGAGGUGGUUGGUUUUCCUUAGAUUUUAAAAGCCUGAAAUAUCUUUCUCACAUGCUUAAUGAUUUAUUUUUAAGUCUGAUUUUAUGGAAAGAAAGUUUGGUGUCUUUGUAAACUGAUUGAGAUGCCAGCUUUUCCCUUUGUCCUCAGCCAAAUGAGUUGAAAAAAAAAAUGUUUUAACCACUGAAAGUCAUUAAAUCAAAUACAAGUUUAAAGAGGGGGUUUAGUUGUUUGUGAGUAUAAUUCAUGAAAAUAUCCAAAAUAUAUAUAUGGGUGGCUUCUUGUGUUGUUCUUAUAUGCAGUUAGGCCAUAAUUUAAAAAUUUUUUUAAUAGUCAGCUACUAGACAAUUUAGCUAUAAGGGGAAAAAACAAAGUUUUAUGACAGUUCUGUAGCAGGAAACACUGAUCUACUUCUGGAACUUACACAAGUCUUCUCAAGGAUGUUUUGAUUGGAAAUAUGUGUUAACUCAUAUACAUAUUUUGGGAGCUUCCUAUAGAGAAAAAGGGACACAUACAUGGUCCUGACUUGGGAAAGGACAUGGCACAUGACAAAUGAUCAGAAGGAAGUUGGACAGAAGAGUAAUAACUGAUUUUUGACACUGGAAAAAAUAGGCAAGAACAACCACCAUAGGCAAACUUGCAAGUCACAUCAUCGAUAUUGUUUUUCCUCUUAAGAGCAAAGAAAGUUACUGAAAGGUUUUAAGCAGGAAAUGGACAUUAUCAGCGAUGUAUUUAAAAAAUACUGCUUAAGCUACUAUGAUUAGAAAGGCAGGGAGUUUGCAUUGCAACUCAGUGGAUAUGAACCUGACUAGCAUCCAUGAGGAUCUGGGUUCUGUCCCUGGCCUUGCUCAGUGAGUUAAGAAUUCUGUGGUGCUAUGAACUAUUGUGUAUGUCACAGACCUGGCUCUGAUUCCCCACUGCUAUGUCUGUGGAAUAGGCUGGCAUUGUAGCUCUGAUUCAUUCCCUAGCCCAGGAACUUCCAUAUGCUAUAGGUGCAGCCCUAAAAGAAAAAAAAAAGUCAAAAGUAGAUAGAGGGAGACCAGGGAUGGAGCCUUUGCAGGGUCCAUGACCAAGAAGCUGGCAUCAAGGGUGGAGGUAAAGAUUGUCCUAAGGGCAGUUAUAGGAGGGCUGGUAAGAGUCAUGCCUUGGAUGCAGAAAAACAAGUGAUUCUUAGAAGCAUUUACAUGGGAAUGUAAUUUGGUGCAACCACUGUGGAAAACAGUAUGGAGAUUCCUCAGAAAACUAAAAAUAGAAUUACCAUUUGAUCCAGCAAUCCCACUCCUGGGCAUCUAUCCAGAGAAAACCAUGACUCGAAAAGAUACUCCAGUGUUCACUGCAGCUCUAUAUACAAUAGCCAAGACAAGGAAACAAUCUAAAUUCCCAUCAACAGAGGAGGGGAUAAAGAAGAUGCGGUACAUAUACACAAUGGAAUAUCACUCAGCUGUUGAAAGAAAUAAUGGGAUGUGUAGCAACAUGGAUGGGCCUAGAAAUUAUCAUGCUAAGUGAAGUCAGACAGCAAGACAAUAAUAUCACAUGCUGUCACUUACAUGUAGAAUAUAAAAAAUGGAGACAAUGAACUUCAUUAAGAACAGAUACUGACUCAGAGACUUUGAAACACUUAUGGUUUCCAAAUGAGACAGGUUGGGGGGCGGGAAGAUGUGCUGGAUAUGGGAUGGAAAUGCUAUAAAAUUGGGUUGUGAUGAUCAUCGUAUGACUAUAAAUGUAAUAAAAUUCACUGAGUAAUAAAAAAGAAGCAUUUAUAAUAUAAUAUGAUUUGAAUACUGAUUACAUGGGAGGAGUGUGAGAGAGAUUUCAAAAAUAACACUCAAAUUUUGCCUUCUAGCUUCUCAUUUUAUGGAUGGUAGAUAAGGUUUUGAUUCUGAUAUACACACCUGAGGAUGUAUAGAAAAAUGCUGAUAGGUAGGUAGGUUUUACAUUUGGGGUAGGAUUACUCCAGAAUACUCAUAGAAAGGAACAUAGUAUAAGCCUGUUUAGGCAGACUUUGGGCGCACUAGGAUCAGGAAUCUUCCCUACCCGUCAUGGGGAGCUGACAUUCCUUUCAACAAGUCCCCAAAGAUAUAAGGAUGAUAGUAUUAUCAAAUCUCACGUUGCUGCCCACAGUGGUUCUUAUCAAACACAUAUGCAUAUGACCAGCUGUGUCUUCUACCCAUUCACCUCAACUUCAAUCAAAGUCAAACCAAUGGUUUCGUCCAUUAACAAUAUAAGGCAGUCUAAGUAAACACUAGCAUGGGGAUUUUAAGAUACAUAUUGAUGUACAAAUCCUUGUUUGGAUAUUAGGCCCUUGGAAAAUUUAUAUGCUUCUUUGUAUGGUACUUUCCUUUAAGGAUUAAAAGAUAUUAUAAUAAAACUUUUUCACAGAGUUGUGAGAAGUAAAUGAGUUAAUACCUGCAAAGUGCUUAGGAAAACAUCUUAAAUUAGAACUGCUGGUUUCUACUUAUCUAUUCAGUGAUUUGGUGAUUGAAUUAAGAGGCCUGUACAUGUCACUAGAUCUUGGAAAACUCAGAAUCAAAGAUUUUCUUAGAAUAUAUUUCAGCUAAACUGGCAGGGCAGGAGGCGGAUACAAUUUCAGCAUGAAAACCAUGAUUUCCAUUUUUGGCAUGUUUAUUUUUAGCUGACUAUGAGUUAUUGAAGGGAAUAUUUUGAGACAGCUGUGAGAUAUAUUAUUUGGCUUUUGGAAGAAGUCUGGGAUAGAGAUAGAAAAUAAUGCUUAUCAGCAUAUAGAGGGGAAUGGAAACUACUGAUGCAGAUGAAAUCACUAUGGAAAGAGUAUGUAAAAUGUUGCACUGAAUUUCUUAGGAAAUAACCUUUGUGAUGGUAAUUAGCAUGUAGACAGUUUAUUAGACAGUGUUCUUAGAACCAAAAAAUAGGAAAAAUUAAGAGUUAAGACUGGGGAGAGGGAGAAGUUGCACUAUAAUGGAAUAUAAAAAACCUCCUUAAUAGUACAGACAAGCUGAAAUGAGAAGAGAAUUUCAGAUUUGUCCAAGGGUAAGGGCAAGUUUCAGGCCUUUAUAACCCUAUGUUGACUAGAAAUUGAAUGAGGGCUCUUCCCACAGACAUGGACUGUCUGCCAGCUCUUCCCAGAGAAUGGGCCCUACCCUGUUGGACUUGAGCAGCAAGUGAGAGCAUCUACCACAAGUGAAAGAAAUAAUGAGAAGCAAAUGACAGCAUUUACCACAAGUGAAAAAAAAGGUUAAGACCAACCAUUGAAGACCCCCAACUUUUAAAGUUCCAGGAUGUGAGAAUAAGCCAGGAAAACAGAAUUAGAAGGGGAGGGGAGGCCAGAUAAUUAGACAGAUAAAUGAUACUUUGGGUAGGAGACGCAAUGAAGAAUGGAAUCUUAUUCAGUGUCAAAUGUUGCUGGGUUUGGAAUUUAAAAACCUAUUGUAAAGAAUAAACUAAACCCAAAGUAAGAAGAUAGGAGAAACUAUUAAAAGUUAGAGUGGAGAUAAAAUAAAGAAAAUGCAGAAGAGAAAAUAUAUCCUAUCAAAUUUAUGUAUUUGAAGAAAUAAUCAAUGGAAUUGACAAACUUUAAGCAAUACUGACUAAUAAAAAACAGAGAAGAUUGAAAUAAGUUAAAUCAAGAUGGAAAAGGAGCCAUUAUUACUGAUGUUACAGAAAUAAAAAGACAUGAAAGCAUACUGUGAACAACUGAGAAAUUAACUAAUGUAGAUGAAAUAAGCAAAUUUCUAGAAAGACAAAAAAUACCAUAGAUGACUCAAGAAUCAUAAAAUGUCUAAGUGGGCCAAUAAUAAAUUAAAAUGCUGAAUUAGUAAUUUAAAAUUUUUCCUUCAGAGAAGAGUUCAGGACCUGAUAGUUAACCAGUGAAUUCUACCAAAUGUUUAAAGCGGAAUUAAUAUCAAUCCUCCCCAAACUCCUUUAAAGCAUGGAAGAGAAGGGAAGGCAUCCUCACUCACUCUAUGAGGCCAUAAUCUGACACUAAAGCCAGAAAAAAUACACUAUGAGAAAAGAAAACUAUAGGCAAACAUUCCUUAUUAAUAUAGGAUACAAGCGCCCUCACCAAAAUACUAACAAACCAAAAUCCAUUAGCAUAUAAGGAUAUUUUUAUACCGUGAUCAAGUGGGAUUUAUCUGAGGAGCACAAAGUUGAUUUAACAACCUAAAAUCUAUGAAUGUUACAAUAUUAAUAUAAAAAAUGACAGAAACUUCAUGAUUAUUUCAAUAUAUGCAAAAAGAGCACUUGAAAAAGUCCAUGAUAAAAACAACUUAACUAAUUAGGAAUAAAAGGGGUCUUUUUACCCUAAACUUUCUUAACCUGAUGAAGAAGAUUUAUGAAAAUUAAUUUCUCUGGAGUAUGUUGGUGUGUUGGGGAGGGGAAUAACUUGUGUAUUAAAUUAAGAAUAUGCAGAUUAUAACCUGUAGAAUCAGGAGGCAUAAGACACCCACCCACACAGGGUUGGCAGAGAGCUACCUCAGCAUCUGAGCUCCCAC
RNAcentral lists this long non-coding RNA (6238 nucleotides) under Sus scrofa (pig). Its description in RNAcentral is "lncRNA (ENSSSCG00015066607.1)". Lineage: Eukaryota; Metazoa; Chordata; Mammalia; Artiodactyla; Suidae. The record is from RNAcentral.